Molecule: long non-coding RNA, 1002 nt
Filed under: Rattus norvegicus (Norway rat)
Lineage: Eukaryota; Metazoa; Chordata; Mammalia; Rodentia; Muridae
Description: long non-coding RNA NONRATT014313
Source: RNAcentral
GAGAGAGAGAGAGAGAGAGAGAGAGAGAGAAACAGAGACACAGAGACACCUGCUCUGCUGAUCACACUGCUGUCUGGCAGUCAGUCAGCAAACCAUCCUCCCUAGAGUUCCUCCUUACUCUUGGGGAAGCUGCAGGUCUGGCAGGGGGGUGUUCUCAGCUCAGUUACCUGGAUCCUUCCCAGGCUCCUGCUCUGGUGUACCCCCAUGAGCCUAAGAGGCUUCCCCUUACCGCUCUUCCUGUGUCGACCAACCGGGGACUCUGCAGCUACCAGCAGCUGUCACGGGGAACAUCAAAGAGGAUGUUUAUGCCAAGCCCCGUUUACACAAGCUACCUCUCCCCCAAGAGAUGAAAGCUUAAAACAAACAGUGCUUCCAUAUGCUAGGAGCAUAGGCGCAUCAGCACUGGGGAUCCCCAGAUGGAAACAUGAGUCAGGCUGGGGCAGAUGCCUAAGUAAAUCGCAUUUGGGUGAAAUUCCUCUCUGGAGCAGGAAAAAGCUCUGAGCAAUUGCACAGGUUCCCCUAAAGAUGGCAAGCUCUCCACAGUGGUCCAGACCCCGGACUCAGCAUCAUCUGACAGGCGCUUAACUCAUCUCAGCAUCCACACCCGCUCUCACUCCAUCAGGGGUAUCUAUUGGGCGUUGUGGGAGGGCGGGUUGUGUGCCCAAUAAGCAUUUCCUGAAGCCCCUGAGACUUCAGGCUCUGAUCUCCAAAUACAUAGGCACCUGCGGGUGCGCACAAAGGUGUUUGAGGACAGAGGGGGCAUGAACCUGGAACACACAGUUUGCCCAAAGACACAGGCCGCCGAGGUCUUUUCAAAGGAGCAAUCUGGCCACUGAGAAAAUCACAGCAAGGGAAGCUCGAGUGUCCCAGGGUCACUGCCUCCUCCUCCUCCUUUAAUCCUGCCCCCAGAGACUGUAAGAGAGAGAAAUUCACGACCCAACGUGAGCUACACUCGGUCUACAUUGCUUCCAGGACGGGGCAGAAAGGAGCAGGCAAGAGAGC